GCCCUGGCUGGGCGGUCUGCCUCACGGUAUGUACUGUCUGGCUGGGGCUUACCUCUUGGUGAGCUUGCAUGUCGUUUACUCGGCGUGUAAGGGAACCAGGACUUUUACCUUGAGAAAAUUAGAGUGUUCAAAGCAGGCAUUUGCCCGAAUACAUUAGCAUGGAAUAAUAGAAUAGGACGU
RNAcentral lists this ribosomal RNA (180 nucleotides) under uncultured Glomeromycotina. Its description in RNAcentral is "partial small subunit ribosomal RNA". The record is from RNAcentral. Lineage: Eukaryota; Fungi; Glomeromycota.